This is a non-coding RNA of Camellia sinensis, 443 nucleotides long. Lineage: Eukaryota; Viridiplantae; Streptophyta; Magnoliopsida; Ericales; Theaceae. The record is from RefSeq and is a predicted model, not a curated record.
CCUAGUAAGGUGUAAGAGCUCUAACCAAUGGGCUAAUCCCUUUGGUCAUUAAGGAGAACGUUUAAAAUAGAGAACGAGUACUAAACUUUAUAGAUCACAUGUCUCUCCAUAUAAUUCCCCAAUUCAUGUUACUCUAAUCUAUGCACACCAAUUUUCUUUUCAAUCUUUUCAAGAAGAUACUAAUGAGAUAUCCUUGGUCUCUACUUAUAUCCUUGGGUUCAAAAUGAACAUUAAUGAGUAACCCAAUUCCAACAUGCAUAUCCCAACAGUAUGGAUUGACAAGAAAAAUGACUCUCUACUCCUGCUGAUUUUGAAAGUUCAAACAAACUAAUAUACUACUCGCUCUGUUGUAGUUGGGAGAUUAUAUAGAUUUAUCCUCCGUAAAAGAGAACAUUUUAUACCUGAAACAAAGCAAAGUGGAUAAGAUGAAGAACUAACUGUGG